This 52-nucleotide small RNA is filed under the name Inquilinus ginsengisoli. RNAcentral describes it as "Whalefall-1 RNA". It matches the Rfam family "Whalefall-1 RNA". The record is from RNAcentral. Lineage: Bacteria; Pseudomonadati; Pseudomonadota; Alphaproteobacteria; Rhodospirillales; Rhodospirillaceae.
GUACCUCUCCUUGGGGAGAGGUCGGAACCGCGUAGCGGUUCCGGGUGAGGGG